RNAcentral lists this ribosomal RNA (200 nucleotides) under uncultured eukaryote. RNAcentral's name for it is "partial 18S ribosomal RNA". It matches the Rfam family "Eukaryotic small subunit ribosomal RNA", at positions 588 to 795 of the family's 1831-position model. The record is from RNAcentral.
GCUCCAAUAGCGUAUAUUAAAGUUGUUGCAGUUAAAAAGCUCGUAGUUGGAUUUGUGGUUGUCGCUCGCGGCCUGGUACUUAGUGCCGGUGCUUGCAGGCGGCGCAUCCUUGGGUGGAACCUGUGUGGCAUUAGGUUGUCGUGCAGGGGAUGCCAUCGUUUACUGUGAAAAAAUUAGAGUGUUCAAAGCAGGCUUAUGCC